Molecule: long non-coding RNA, 947 nt
Organism: Orbicella faveolata
Lineage: Eukaryota; Metazoa; Cnidaria; Anthozoa; Scleractinia; Merulinidae
Source: RefSeq, a predicted model, not a curated record
ACGCUUGCCAGACCUCAUAUCUUUUUACGGCAUCUUCUUGACAGGAGCACUUAGCUAAAGCAGGUACUUCGAAUAUUGAGGUAAAUAAAUCGUGGUAACCUGCUGUAUUUGACUUGAUUGGAGUUUAAGCAGUCAUCCGCAUCAUCACGCAUGAAUUGUUUAUUACAUCAACAACUCGAGCUUCUAGCCAAUGAAAAGGUUGCCUUCAAUGAGCAUCGAAAAUGAUUUCAUCCGUCGUGAGCUAUUGAUAUCUGUUGCGUGAAACCAAAUGACAUUAGUCGCUUAAACUGUAGCCAAGAAGACAUGCCGGUAUUAGCAGGGUCACCGAUAUCACCUGAGAACCAGAAUGUCAUCUCAAGAUGUUAUCCAUCAAGACGAACAAACAACGGAGAAUGAGAUACGUCCACGGCAUGCCAUCCCUCUGAAGACAGUUAAGAUGUCAGAACUUCUAGUUGUCUAACAUGAAGAAAAGGGAAAUGAGAGCUCAAUGGGUACAGAUAUUUGAACGUUGGACAACUUGAACGUUAAGAUCUGUACGAUCUGACACUUGUUUAGAGCUGACGCCUUUAAAGAAAGGAAACGGAUACCGUAUGUAUGCAGCAUAAGGUACCGCCCCAGGGCAAAAUGGGCCGCAUAGACAAUCCCAGUGUGAAGCGAACUGAAGACUGAACAACUGAAAGUGAGGAAUCUUUGUGUUCAUCUGCUUGUUGUUAAACAACGAGAAGGACUACAAUGGAUGAAAAACGCCGGCGAGAAUUCAAAAGGCCAUGACAAUUUGUUAGCAAUCAACUGGGCGUGAAGCCAACUGCAGGUGAAAUCUCAAAAGCCCCUGACCGAGGUUACGUUUAACAACACGGUUAUCAACAGUUGCAGCAGACUAGCGGCCUUAAGGCGCUAAACGUGAGUGAACAAUACUAAAAGAGUGACAGAUCCAAACCAUUUAAAGA